GCGAUCUUCUUCGGAAGAGAGCGGCGGACGGGUGAGUAACGCGUGGGUAACCUGCCUCAUACACAUGGAUAACAUACCGAAAGGUAUGCUAAUACAAGAUGAUAUAAGAGAUUCGCAUGGAUUUCUUAUCAAAGCUCCGGCGGUAUGAGAUGGACCCGCGUCUGAUUAGCUAGUUGGUAAGGUAACGGCUUACCAAGGCGACGAUCAGUAGCCGACCUGAGAGGGUGAUCGGCCACAUUGGAACUGAGACACGGUCCAAACUCCUACGGGAGGCAGCAGUGGGGAAUAUUGCACAAUGGGCGAAAGCCUGAUGCAGCAACGCCGCGUGAGCGAUGAAGGCCUUCGGGUCGUAAAGCUCUGUCCUCAAGGAAGAUAAUGACGGUACUUGAGGAGGAAGCCCCGGCUAACUACGUGCCAGCAGCCGCGGUAAUACGUAGGGGGCUAGCGUUAUCCGGAUUUACUGGGCGUAAAGGGUGCGUAGGUGGUUUCUUAAGUCAGGAGUGAAAGGCUACGGCUCAACCGUAGUAAGCUCUUGAAACUGGGAAACUUGAGUGCAGGAGAGGAAAGUGGAUUUCCUAGUGUAGCGGUGAAAUGCGUAG
RNAcentral lists this ribosomal RNA (599 nucleotides) under uncultured bacterium. RNAcentral describes it as "bacterial SSU rRNA". It matches the Rfam family "Bacterial small subunit ribosomal RNA", at positions 66 to 693 of the family's 1533-position model. The record is from RNAcentral.